Molecule: long non-coding RNA, 1016 nt
Organism: Magnolia sinica
Lineage: Eukaryota; Viridiplantae; Streptophyta; Magnoliopsida; Magnoliales; Magnoliaceae
Exons: 3
Source: RefSeq, a predicted model, not a curated record
UAAAAAUACUGAGAUUGAGGAAAGUGAACUCUUUGAUGCAAGCUUAACAAAUUUGAAAGAAGAUGGAUCUUCACCGUCCCUAACUCUGAUCAGAAAGCAGGGAUGGUAUUCAGAUAAACUUUCAUAUCUAAAAGGAAAAGUGCCUUCCUCGAUAGGAAUUCCAACAUCAAUUGCCCUGCCCUUUGGAGUUUUUGAGAAGGUUUUGUUAGAUGAUUCAAACUAGGUUUGUCUCAUCUCAUCUCAUGUCACUUAAGUGUAUCCAACAUCAAUAGAAUGCUAAUUCUAACAUAUUGACCUUUGAAACCUUUCCAAAAUUAUCAGAAAUGACAUAGGUGAUUAUCAAGCAAAUGCUAGAUGUGUAUGCCUAGAUGAGGGCUUCACUUGGUGAGGCAUGCAUUUUGUUCUCAUGUUUUGAUUUUUGAAGCUUUUUUUCUUUUUAUUGUUUGAAUUAUGUAAAAGAGAGCUGAUUGAUGUGGUAUGUUUUUGUUGUAUUUUUUUAAUGAGAUUUUAUGGAUUUUUUUUUUUAAUUGUUUCUUUGAGUGUGGCAUUUCAGGUGAAGAGAAGGAUAGAUUUGGUUUAUGGGGGAGGGAGUGUGGGAUUGAUGGGUUUGAUCUCCCAAGCUGUUUAUGAUGGAGGCUGCCAUGUUCUUAGUUCUCUGUUAGAGUUUGGUGUCCUUAGAUUUGAGUUGGGUUAUUCAAUGGAAAAUCCAAAUUCAUUGGUUGUGUGGGAAGCAGUUGAUGCAUGUCUUGUUGUCAUCUGAUUGGGAAGAAGAUAAUUGAACUUGAAAUAUGCAUUGGACAGAAUGGUAACAUUGGAAAUAUAAAAGCUACCAAGCGUAGUAUGUCAUCAGGUUUAGAAAUGAAGCUUGAUGAGCUGCGGAAAGAGCUCUCUUCAAGUCAUGAAGGAAUAUUACCACAUACCAUUCUUUCCACCUAACAGAUUAGCACGUUAAGCGCCAAAAAACCAACUUCCAUGGAGCAGCUAAGGACUAGCUUGGUUCUGACUAUCAUAGGAGC